UGGCACGUACGGUUCUUAGAGGGGGAAAGCCCGAGAGGACCUACCUAUCUCAACUAUUUAAUUCGUAGGUACGCGAAAAACCUUACCACAACUUGAAUAUUAUCUAUCAGGAUAUUACAAGCGUUGCACGGCUGUCUUCAGUUAAUGUCGUGAGAUGCCGGUUAACUCCUUUAAAUUAACGGAAACCCUUGCUUUAAUUAUGAAAAGAAAUAAAGCAGUUCACCAUCUAAAUCGGAUAUGAUCACAGGGGGCAAGACAAGUCAUCAUGGCCUAAAUGUUGUGGGCAAUAGACGUGCCACAUAUUCCUAUACAAAAUGAUGCGAUAAUGCGAAUUGGAGCUAAUCAUCUAAAGUAGGAUAUAAUAAGGAUUGUAGUCUGAAACUCGACUAUAUGAAUAAGGAAUUACUAGUAAUCGUGAAUAAGAACGUCACGGUGGAUUUAAUCUCAUUUGGGUACUAACUACUCGUCAGGCGCUGAAAUAAGUGUGUGCAAUAAGUUUGGUUUUUUUUAUAUUUUUUAUUCUAGAUAAUUAGUUCUAGUUAUCUAUAAGGAAAAUCUUCGUAUGCGUGACUUUAAUUAGUGUUAAGUCGAAAUAUGGUUCGUGUAGUGGAAGUUGCACGGG
Molecule: non-coding RNA, 622 nt
Filed under: Erysiphe necator (grape powdery mildew)
Lineage: Eukaryota; Fungi; Ascomycota; Leotiomycetes; Helotiales; Erysiphaceae
Description: Bacterial small subunit ribosomal RNA
Rfam family: Bacterial small subunit ribosomal RNA
Source: Rfam by way of RNAcentral